This 450-nucleotide ribosomal RNA is filed under the name Triticum aestivum (bread wheat). RNAcentral's name for it is "partial small subunit ribosomal RNA". Lineage: Eukaryota; Viridiplantae; Streptophyta; Magnoliopsida; Poales; Poaceae. The record is from RNAcentral.
AUGAUGUUAGCUGACUGUCGGUCUGUCCGGAAACUACAGGCUACCCGGUCUCAGAAGGAAAAAGGAAAAACUGCAACACUUUAUUUUGUUUACUUUCUUCUCUCCAGAGACGAGAGCUCUUUCCCAUGUCUCCCUACACUACACCCACGGUCACCACAAACCAACAGAAAACGGUUUCUGGAUAAAUUUUUGAGUUCUGUGAGCUUUGUCCAAACGAUAGAUUCUGCGACAUGCCUGAAUCAGCAGCAAACGGCUACAGCCCUAGAAACAAGCAGAAAACCUUGGAAUUUGAUAACAUUGCCUGAAUCAGCACCAGACCAAGGCCCUUGGGUAAUGACGAUCGCAGAAAAACGUAUGAGAUUCCUGAGAACCACAGGCUAUUACAACCACGAUAACGAUCAAACUCUCAACAUUCCGCAUCCUACCAAACCGGCACAAGAUCGUGACUAA